Molecule: ribosomal RNA, 440 nt
Filed under: uncultured bacterium
Lineage: Bacteria
Description: partial 16S ribosomal RNA
Rfam family: Bacterial small subunit ribosomal RNA
Source: RNAcentral
CCUACGGGUGGCAGCAGUAGGGAAUAUUUCUCAAUGGGGGAAACCCUGAAGCAGCAACGCCGCGUGGAGGAUGGAGGGUUUCGGAUUUUAAACUCCUUGUGUUAUAGAAGAAAAUGACGGUAUCUAACGAAUAAGCACCGGCUAACUCCGAGCCAGCAGCCGCGAUAAUACGGAGGGUGCAAGCGUUACUCGGAAUCACUGGGCGUAAAGAGCGCGCAGGCGGGAUAGCAAGUCAGAUGUGAAAUCCUAUGGCUUAACCAUAGAACUGCAUUUGAAACUGUUAGUCUAGAGUAUGGGAGAGGUAAGUGGAAUUCUUGGUGUAGGGGUAAAAUCCGUAGAGAUCAAGAGGAAUACUCAUUGCGAAGGCGAGCUGCUAGAACAUAACUGACGCUGAUGCGCGAAAGCGUGGGGAGCAAACAGGAUUAGAUACCCUUGUAGUC